RNAcentral lists this ribosomal RNA (323 nucleotides) under uncultured bacterium. RNAcentral describes it as "bacterial SSU rRNA". It matches the Rfam family "Bacterial small subunit ribosomal RNA", at positions 28 to 334 of the family's 1533-position model. The record is from RNAcentral.
GAUGAACGCUGGCGGCGUGCCUAACACAUGCAAGUCGAGCGAGAAAUUUACGAAUGAAAUUUCGAUGGAAUUUGUAAAUGGAAAGCGGCGGACGGGUGAGUAACGCGUAGGUAACCUGCCCCAUACAGAGGGAUAGCCAUUGGAAACGGUGAUUAAUACCUCAUAAAACUGAGUAUACUCAUGUAUACUCAGCCAAAGAUUUAUCGGUAUGGGAUGGACCUGCGUCUGAUUAGCUGGUUGGUGAGGUAACGGCUCACCAAGGCGACGAUCAGUAGCCGACCUGAGAGGGUGAUCGGCCACAUUGGAACUGAGACACGGUCCAA